This 631-nucleotide unclassified non-coding RNA is filed under the name Monomorium pharaonis (pharaoh ant). Its description in RNAcentral is "odorant receptor 67c-like, transcript variant X2". The record is from RNAcentral. Lineage: Eukaryota; Metazoa; Arthropoda; Insecta; Hymenoptera; Formicidae.
UUUCUGCACAUUAUGUAUGCAGCUGGCGGAGUAGUGCAGCUCUACAUAAUAUGUUAUUGUGUGCAACAGCUAUCAGAUGCGAGUGUUGAAAUAACGGAUUCUGCAUUUCACGAAAAAUGGUACCAAUACGGAGCAUACAUAAAACGUACAUUUCUGUUAAUGAUAAUGGCGAAUAAUUUAGAAAUUAAACUGUCAACGUUUGAAAAGUACAGUUUAUCUCUGUCUUCAUUUAUGGCAAUUUUAAAUCAAUCGUAUUCAAUCGCUCUUUUGCUAUUAAGAACUAGUUAAAACGUUGCUGAAAAUAUUUACUGUAAAAUGAAAUUAAUAUUGCGAUGUGUAGUAUAAUACGUUUAACAAUUGAAUAAAAUUUUAAAUAAGUAGUGAGCAAACAUUAGAAGAAAAUGUCAAUUUUAUUUUUGCAACUAGAACGUAAUAUUAUGCAGGAACUUAUUUCUUGUUCCAAUAUACUGUCACACGUAAUAAUGAAUAGUCUAUUGAUAAAAGAGACGUAUCAUAAUGUAUUUUAUUUAUAAUUUCAAAUAUGAAAGAAAUGUUUUGUGUACUUCUUUUUACAAUAAGCAAUGGUUCAAUAGCCAUGUGAAACAAAGAUAAUUAAUUUAAAUAAUCUAAA